CCUACGGGUGGCAGCAGUGAGGAAUAUUGGUCAAUGGGCGCGAGCCUGAACCAGCCAAGUAGCGUGAAGGAUGACUGCCCUACGGGUUGUAAACUUCUUUUAUAAAGGAAUAAAGUGAGGCACGUGUGCCUUUUUGUAUGUACUUUAUGAAUAAGGAUUGGCUAAACACGUGACAGGAGCCGCGGUAAUACGGAGGAGCCUAGCAUUAGCCGGAUUUAUUGGGUUUAAAGGGAGAGUAGCACGGGUGUUAUGUAUGUUGUGAAAGUUUGCGGCUCAACCGUAUAAUUGCAAUUUAUACUUGCAGUUUUGAGUACAUUUGUGGUAGGCGGAAUUCGUGGUGUAGCGGUGAAAUGCUUAGAUAUCACGAAGAACUCCGAUUGCGAAGGCAGCUUACUAAACUGCCACUGACAUUGAUGCUCGAAAGUGUGGGUAUCAAACAGGAUUAGAUACCCCAGUAGUC
This 460-nucleotide ribosomal RNA is filed under the name uncultured bacterium. Its description in RNAcentral is "partial 16S ribosomal RNA". It matches the Rfam family "Bacterial small subunit ribosomal RNA", at positions 338 to 795 of the family's 1533-position model. The record is from RNAcentral.